UACGUAGAGUCCGAGCGUUGUCCGGAAUUAUUGGGCGUAAAGGGCUCGUAGGCGGUUCGUCACGUCGGGAGUGAAAACUCGGAGCUUAACUCCGAGCCUGCUUCCGAUACGGGCAGACUAGAGGUAGGCAGGGGAGAGCGGAACUCCUGGUGUAGCGGUGGAAUGCGCAGAUAUCAAGAGGAACACCUGAGGUGAAGACGGGUUGCUGGGCUGACACUGACGCUGAGGCGCGAAAGCUAGGGUAGCAAACGGG
Molecule: ribosomal RNA, 253 nt
Filed under: uncultured bacterium
Lineage: Bacteria
Description: partial 16S ribosomal RNA
Rfam family: Bacterial small subunit ribosomal RNA
Source: RNAcentral